Molecule: non-coding RNA, 114 nt
Organism: Acanthosepion pharaonis
Lineage: Eukaryota; Metazoa; Mollusca; Cephalopoda; Sepiida; Sepiidae
Source: the annotation of a GenBank genome assembly
UGACGGCCAUAUCACGUUUGACAACCUGUUCCUGUACGAUCACCGACGUUAAGCAACAUCAAGCCUGGCCAAUACCUAAAUGUGUGACCGCUUGGGAGUAACGGGUGCUGUAAG